RNAcentral lists this long non-coding RNA (214 nucleotides) under Mytilus galloprovincialis (Mediterranean mussel). The record is from RNAcentral. Lineage: Eukaryota; Metazoa; Mollusca; Bivalvia; Mytilida; Mytilidae.
GCUAUGAGAGUUCCUGAUAUAGGUAAAUCCUGAAAAGUGCUUCAGAUGCAUGGUAAUUUAAAACGUGUUGUUUUCCUUUUUUUCAGGACAAACCAAUGUUUGUAAUAUAUAAUAUACAAAAAUAUUAAAGGUGAAAAUUACUGAUGCGAAUUUUGGCAAUGUCUCUUUAGCGAUGCCCGAGACCAAUAACUGUUUAAAAGUCCACAACUUAAUG